UGUGGACUAGCUAGUGUAGAUACUAGUCGAAGAAAUGUUGUUGGAUGGCCUUUGGCGUAUCCAUGUGUGCCUAUGUGCCACCGAGAGCAAUGGAGAAUUUCUUUAGGGUAUCCCACGACCCUAUAUAUAUAAAUACCUUUAAACUUCUACUCAAUCAGACGUCUUUCUCUAGCUUAGUGAUAGUUCUUCCAACUACAUGGGUUUGACCUCCACCCCUAUUCAGUUUUUACUGUUUUUUUAGUUUUUUCAAUGGAUUUUUUGUAUGCAUACCGUGUUAACUCUAAUUUACGCUUGUCACAC
Molecule: long non-coding RNA, 300 nt
Filed under: Sorghum bicolor (sorghum)
Lineage: Eukaryota; Viridiplantae; Streptophyta; Magnoliopsida; Poales; Poaceae
Description: long non-coding RNA (SBIC_LNC009438)
Source: RNAcentral